Macrobrachium nipponense is the source of this 780-nucleotide long non-coding RNA. RefSeq lists it as uncharacterized. NCBI's taxonomy places the organism in Eukaryota, Metazoa, Arthropoda, Malacostraca, Decapoda, Palaemonidae. The record is from RefSeq and is a predicted model, not a curated record. The transcript is spliced from 3 exons.
AAGAGACAGAUUGAUGGAUGUUCUGACAGGACUAAAGUGUGCUGAAUGUGAUGGAGAAGUGCAUAUUCUAACAAUAGAAGCAGAGAUGUAUAAAAAUGGUCUUAAAAGAAAUGAAGCUCUCAUUAAGGAGAGACAAGCAAGAUUGAUGGAAAUAUGUGAAAGAGCCAAUUAUCUGGAAGGACAGGGCAAAGAACUUACUAAAUUUGAGGGACAGAAGAAAGAUGACAACUAAACAGUCAAGAAAUCGAGGGCAGACCUUGCCACCAUAACUGUGUACCAUUGAGCUUUUGUAUUCAGCUUUAGCUCAUGAAUAGUGCUUUGGGAAGUAGUUGUAGUUUUGUAAUUGUAAUAUUUUUCACUUUAGUAGUACAGACUUCUGGUAACUUAUAAAGGGAAAGUAUGCUCCAACUAUUUUUGCACACUUAGAUAUUACUCUGCAGUGGCCUGUACUUUGCAUAUGCUGCUCAUGAGUGACCUUGUAUCCCAAAUAUGGAAUAAUAGUGUGAUAUUUGUAGCUCCACAUACAUCAAUUAAUUUUGUAAAUUGAGUUAAUUUUAGUCAAGCAUCACUGAUUAAAUCAGUUCUAAUAAAAUAGUUUAAGAAAAUUGCUGUCAUGUGAGUCUGUGAUGUCACCGAGAACCUAUGAAUAACGUAGUGUAGUGGGAUAUUUGUGUGACAUAGGUUUUUAUAAUUAUAAUUUAAAUUCACUUGGUUUUAUAGCAAUCUACAACAGUACAACUUAGGUUUUUAUUGUAGUGUCUUACCGAACAAUUAUAGAGC